RNAcentral lists this ribosomal RNA (262 nucleotides) under uncultured archaeon. RNAcentral's name for it is "partial 16S ribosomal RNA". It matches the Rfam family "Archaeal small subunit ribosomal RNA", at positions 748 to 1009 of the family's 1478-position model. The record is from RNAcentral.
CAGCCGUAAACUAUGCUCGCUAGGUGUCAGGCAUGGCGCGACCGUGUCUGGUGCCGCAGGGAAGCCGUGAAGCGAGCCACCUGGGAAGUACGGCCGCAAGGCUGAAACUUAAAGGAAUUGGCGGGGGAGCACAACAACGGGUGGAGCCUGCGGUUUAAUUGGACUCAACGCCGGACAACUCACCGGGGGACGACAGCAAUAUGUAGGCCAGGCUGAAGACCUUGCCUGAAUCGCUGAGAGGAGGUGCAUGGCGUAGACGUCU